This 493-nucleotide ribosomal RNA is filed under the name uncultured soil bacterium. RNAcentral's name for it is "bacterial SSU rRNA". It matches the Rfam family "Bacterial small subunit ribosomal RNA", at positions 26 to 517 of the family's 1533-position model. The record is from RNAcentral.
AGAUUGAACGCUGGCGGCAGGCUUAACACAUGCAAGUCGAGCGGGGAAAUGUAGCUUGCUACAUUACCUAGCGGCGGACGGGUGAGUAAUGCUUAGGAAUCUGCCUAUUAGUGGGGGACAACAUUUCGAAAGGAAUGCUAAUACCGCAUACGCCCUACGGGGGAAAGCAGGGGAUCUUCGGACCUUGCGCUAAUAGAUGAGCCUAAGUCGGAUUAGCUAGUUGGUGGGUAAAGGCCUACCAAGGCGACGAUCUGUAGCGGGUCUGAGAGGAUGAUCCGCCACACUGGGACUGAGACACGGCCCAGACUCCUACGGGAGGCAGCAGUGGGAAUAUUGGACAAUGGGGGGAACCUGAUCCAGCCAUGCCGCGUGUGUGAAGAAGGCCUUUUGGUUGUAAAGCACUUUAAGCGAGGAGAGGCUACUAGAUUAAUACCCUGGAUAGUGGACGUUACGUCGCAGAAUAAGACACCGGCUAACUCUGUGCCAGCAGCCG